GUGCUCAGUUCACAGCAUAUAUACUAAAAUUGGAACAGUACGGAGAUUAGCAUGGCCUCUGCAUGAGGAUGCCACGCAAAUUUGUGGAACACUCUAUACUUUU
Small nuclear RNA from Nomascus leucogenys (northern white-cheeked gibbon), 103 nucleotides. Lineage: Eukaryota; Metazoa; Chordata; Mammalia; Primates; Hylobatidae. The record is from Ensembl.